AAGGGAGUGGAAGUGGCCCCAUCGGACCAGGAGGAGACUUCCAGUGUCUGAUCCCUGGGAGCUGCCAUCAGCCGGUGUUUUUGCGGGUCUCAUCAUACAUGCAAGAAUGUGACGGUGCUCAAGGAGAGAGCAAACCAACGUGCAGUAGCGCUGGCCAGAGGCUGCCUGUGUCGUCGAUAGCUUUGUCGGUGGAGUUCAGCAAAGGCUGAUGCAUACCCAUGAAAGGCAGAACGUGCUGUCUGUGGACGCCCUUGAUGUCUUUCCUCCUGUUUGGCAAACACUCUAGGUUUUUAUCCAGCUUUGUGAUCCCUUUAGAGGCUUUCACAGAUCAGUCCAAAGUAAGGAAGAACCACGAAAAUGAGAGAGAAACAGACAACACAGAGGUAAAAGCAGAACAAGGGUACCAGGGUGUAUUCUUUCACUCAAGGUCUUUUGGACCCAUUUGGGGUCAUCUUGACAAAGAAGCUUGGUUUCUACAGCUGUGGAUGUUAUUUUCAGGAGACUUUCCUCUGCAAAAUGCUUUGCCAUAACUGAAGCAGCAAAGAUUGGCAUGUCUGGGCGGUCAUUGCUGCUGAGAGUAACUUCAUGUAAUGGGUGGAAAGUAAAGUAAAACUUGAAGAAUAACUAUGGAAAAAAAAUUUAGAGGUUAUAGUCAAGUCUCAGGGCACAUUGCAAAUUGUUGCUUUAGCAGACGGCUGUUUUGUUAGUAUCUGUCUUAGGCCUUCAGUGCCCCAGCAAUGAAGAGCUAUUCUCAGAAGGAAUCACCUUAGAGGCAGUUUGUGAUCUACAGAGCCUGACAUUUAGAUUAUAUUUCUGGUGGACUUCCAUGGGCACCCAGGGAAUGGUAGCCGUUGGGAGCAGGGAGGUGGUCUGAAGAGGAUGUAAGACAUACCUUAUUUUUUAUGCUUUUUUUUCGUCCCAUCUCGCUAAGGAGUUAUAACAGGUUGUGUAUUGGAGGAUGAAUGGUGAAGAUGGGGUGUGCUGUACAGAAGUGAGCCAUGUCCCUGGCUGAGCUGAAGGCUGUCUGCUUUUGAGGGCAGCUGCCAGAAUGCGUCUGCAGCAACUUUUGGUCCACCAGCUGCGGAAGGCCCUGGUGCAGAGGGCACAUCCAGAGCCCCUGAUGCCUUCUGGUGCAGCCAGACUUUUAUGUUCCUUGUUGAGAAGCUUCCUAGGGGGGCAGGAGAGGGGUCUGCCUUGCUGUGUGGAGAGAAGCACAAAUAAAAGCCAUCAGAAAAAGGAAUGGAGAGUUAUUUUUCAGGUUGAGUCCACACUAGCCAACAACUUUGUCUCCUCUUAAAAACCAAAAUCUCACUGGAGUCAGUCCUCUGGCAGCAGAGAGCCUGCUUUAGGGAGGCUUUCUUUCUGGUUGCCUCAGCAAAACAAAUAUACUCAGGGUAUAUCUCACUCUGUGGGCCAGGUAACAAGCAAAUAAAACCAAUCAGCCCAUCUCCAGGUGGUUUUUGAUGCCUUUUGGUAGUAGCCUACCUGCCAGGAGCAUCGCUGCAGCCCUGCUGAGAGCCGGAGUGCUGACAGAGUGGUGCAGGCGCAGCUCUGCACUAACAGUGGUGUGUGUCUGCCUGUCCUCUGGGCAGUGUGACGGCUUGAAAUAAUGUAGUAAUUCAGUCUGGCGGGGUGCCGAGGACUGUCAUCUCGCCUGAGGCUUCAGGAGGUCUUAGUUCUGAUCCUAACAGAGCACCUUGGAAACGUGAGUGUUUGGAGGGCAAGCCAACUGCCCUUGAAAUGGGUGGCAAAGCCAGCACCUAUUUUAGAGGACGCAUGUG
RNAcentral lists this long non-coding RNA (1781 nucleotides) under Falco tinnunculus (common kestrel). RNAcentral describes it as "lncRNA (ENSFTIG00000013489.1)". Lineage: Eukaryota; Metazoa; Chordata; Aves; Falconiformes; Falconidae. The record is from RNAcentral.